GGGCCCGCGGGCCGGGCGGGCUCGGGGCGGCCGGGACGAGGAGGGGCGACGACGAGCUGCGAGCAAAGAUGUGCCCCGGGACCCCCGGCACCUUCCAGUGGAUUUCCUUGCGGAAAGGAUGUUGGCGGUCCCUGUGACCUGUGGAGACACGGCCAGAUCUGCCCUCCAGCCUGAUCUUUUGGCCAGAAGGAGAUUAAAAAGAUGCCCCUCAAGAUGGCUGUGCCUGUCAGCUGCAUGGAGCUUCGUUCAAGUAUUUUCUGAGCCUGAUGGAUUUACAGUGAUCUUCAGUGGUCUGGGGAAUAACGCUGGUGGAACCAUGCACUGGAAUGACACACGCCCGGCACAUUUCAGGAUACUAAAAGUGGUUUUAAGGGAGGCUGUGGCUGAAUGCCUCAUGGAUUCUUACAGCUUGGAUGUCCAUGGGGGACGAAGGACUGCAGCUGGCUGAGAGGGUUGAGAUCUCUGUUUACUUAGAUCUCUGCCAACUUCCUUUGGGUCUCCCUAUGGAAUGUAAGACCCCGACUCUUCCUGGUGAAGCAUCUGAUGCACGUUCCAUCCGGCGCUCAGCUGGGCUUGAGGUGAGGCUGUCCUGGCUGGUCACGGAGGGUUCACUGGGAUGUGGCUGGUGUUCUCAACGAGGUGGCAUUUAAUGAGCACCCUCUGUGUGGUUGGCGUGAUGCUGGGUGCCUGGGGGAGACAGAUGGAACUAAAGAGGUCCUUCCUGGAAGCCGUUACUGUUCCCUGCCCUGACGUGUGUUAUUGUACCUGUCACCAUUUUCUGAUGUUCCCAGUUUACGUAUCUGUCACCAUCUACCUCCCUAUAAAGUGCCUCUGCUG
This 837-nucleotide long non-coding RNA is filed under the name Homo sapiens (human). RNAcentral describes it as "HSALNT0349944". The stretch from base 1 to 168 matches the Rfam family "Pvt1 oncogene conserved region 1". Lineage: Eukaryota; Metazoa; Chordata; Mammalia; Primates; Hominidae. The record is from RNAcentral.